AGAGUUUGAUCAUGGCUCAGGAUGAACGCUAGCGGGAGGCCUAACACAUGCAAGCCGAGCGGUAUUGUUCUUCGGAAAUGAGAGAGCGGCGUACGGGUGCGGAACACGUGUGCAACCUGCCUUUAUCUGGGGGAUAGCCUUUCGAAAGGAAGAUUAAUACUCCAUAAUAUAUUGAACGGCAUCGUUUAAUAUUGAAAGCUCCGGCGGAUAGAGAUGGGCACGCGCAAGAUUAGCUAGUUGGUGAGGUAACGGCUCACCAAGGCAAUGAUCUUUAGGGGCCUGAGAGGGUGAUCCCCCACACUGGUACUGAGACACGGACCAGACUCCUACGGGAGGCAGCAGUGAGGAAUAUUGGUCAAUGGGUGCAAGCCUGAACCAGCCAUCCCGCGUGAAGGACGACUGCCCUAUGGGUUGUAAACUUCUUUUGUAUAGGGAUAAACCUUUCCACGUGUGGAAAGCUGAAGGUACUAUACGAAUAAGCACCGGCUAACUCCGUG
This 497-nucleotide ribosomal RNA is filed under the name uncultured bacterium. Its description in RNAcentral is "bacterial SSU rRNA". It matches the Rfam family "Bacterial small subunit ribosomal RNA", at positions 8 to 507 of the family's 1533-position model. The record is from RNAcentral.